Molecule: ribosomal RNA, 406 nt
Filed under: uncultured cyanobacterium
Lineage: Bacteria; Bacillati; Cyanobacteriota
Description: partial 16S ribosomal RNA
Rfam family: Bacterial small subunit ribosomal RNA
Source: RNAcentral
UGGGGAAUUUUCCGCAAUGGGCGAAAGCCUGACGGAGCAAGACCGCGUGAGGGAGGAAGGCUCUUGGGUUGUAAACCUCUUUUCUCUGGGAAGAAAAAAAUGACGGUACCAGAGGAAUCAGCAUCGGCUAACUCCGUGCCAGCAGCCGCGGUAAGACGGAGGAUGCAAGCGUUAUCCGGAAUGAUUGGGCGUAAAGCGUCCGCAGGUGGCAAAUCAAGUCUGCUGUUAAAGCGCAGGGCUUAACUCUGUAAAGGCAGUGGAAACUGAUUAGCUAGAGUAUGGUAGGGGUAGAGGGAAUUCCCAGUGUAGCGGUGAAAUGCGUAGAGAUUGGGAAGAACAUCGGUGGCGGAGGCGCUCUGCUGGACCAUAACUGACACUCACAGGACGAAAGCUAGGGGAGCGAAUG